RNAcentral lists this ribosomal RNA (253 nucleotides) under uncultured bacterium. RNAcentral's name for it is "partial 16S ribosomal RNA". It matches the Rfam family "Bacterial small subunit ribosomal RNA", at positions 524 to 776 of the family's 1533-position model. The record is from RNAcentral.
UACGGAGGGUGCGAGCGUUGUCCGGAAUCACUGGGCGUAAAGGGCGCGUAGGCGGCUUGUUACGUAGGGUGUGAAAUCCUGCGGCUUAACCGCAGGGCUGCCUUCUAAACUGUCAGGCUCGAGCACAGUAGAGGCAGGUGGAAUUCCCGGUGUAGCGGUGGAAUGCGUAGAGAUCGGGAAGAACACCAGUGGCGAAGGCGGCCUGCUGGGCUGUUGCUGACGCUGAGGCGCGACAGCGUGGGGAGCAAACAGG